RNAcentral lists this small RNA (5504 nucleotides) under Pongo abelii (Sumatran orangutan). Its description in RNAcentral is "retained intron". The record is from RNAcentral. Lineage: Eukaryota; Metazoa; Chordata; Mammalia; Primates; Hominidae.
CAACUGCUAAGGCUGCCUUGGGAAGAAGAUGAUCCUAAACAAAGCUCUUAUGCUGGGGGCCCUUGCCCUGACCACUGUGAUGAGCCCCUGUGGAGGUGAAGACAUUGUGGCUGACCACGUUGCCUCUUAUGGUGUAAACUUGUACCAGUCUUACGGUCCCUCUGGCCAGUACACCCAUGAAUUUGAUGGAGAUGAGGAGUUCUAUGUGGACCUGGAGAGGAAGGAGACUGUCUGGCAGUUGCCUCUGUUCAUCAAAUUUAGAAGAUUUGACCCACAAGGUGCACUGAGAAACAUCAUUGUGGGAAAACACAAUUUGGACAUCCUGAUUAAAUGCUCCAACUCUACCGCUGCUACCAAUGAGGUUCCUGAGGUCACUGUGUUUUCCAAGUCUCCCGUGACACUGGGUCAGCCCAACACCCUCAUCUGUCUUGUGGACAACAUCUUUCCUCCUGUGGUCAACAUCACAUGGUUGAGCAAUGGGCACUCAGUCACAGAAGGUGUUUCUGAGACCAGCUUCCUCUCCAAGAGUGAUCAUUCCUUCUUCAAGAUCAGUUACCUCACCUUCCUCCCUUCUGCUGAUGAGAUUUAUGACUGCAAGGUGGAGCACUGGGGCCUGGACGAGCCUCUUCUGAAACACUGGGGUAAGUAUGAUUUUCACCGUUUUUUGAUGCUUUCUUGUCUGUCAAGUUCAGAACUUCCUGCCUUUUACUGCUAUAUCCCAAAACUUGUUUUCCACACUUCAUGAGUUUCUUUUAUCUUUUUUUUUUUGAAAGAAUAAAGCAACAAAAGCAGAGAUGUAUUAAAAAUGAAAGUACACUCCACAGGGUGGGAGCAGGCCUGCCACUUCACGGGUUUCUAAUAAUAGACUUCACUCUCCUCCCUAAGCCGGGGACCUUCAGUCUUUGCAGAGCCAACCCUCUACCCCAUCCCCUCCCACACACAUGCACAUGAACAUGCUCUGCAUUCUGACCUCAACAACGUCACUUCCACAGAGCCUGAGAUUCCAGCGCCUAUGUCAGAGCUCACAGAGACUGUGGUCUGUGCCCUGGGGUUGACUGUGGGCCUCGUGGGCAUUGUGGUGGGGACCAUCCUGAUCAUCCGAGGCCUGCGUUCAGUUGGUGCCUCCAGACACCAAGGGCCCUUGUGAAUGGCAUCCUGGAAGGGAAGGUAAGAUUGAGAUUUGUUAGAGCUGAAGCUGCAGUAUGAGAGGAAGGAAAGUGGGAGGGGGUUGUGGACAUGAAUGGUUGAAAGUUGUAGGGGAAUUGGGAAGUGGCAUGAUGAUGACACAGGAGCGGCCUCGGACCCAUCGAUCUCAUGUCUGUCCUGUUGCAGGUGCAUCGCCAUCUACAGGAGCAGAAGAGUGGACUUGCUAUAUGACCUAGCACUAUUUUCUGGCCCGAUUUAUCAUAUCCCUUUUCUCCUGCAAAUGUUUCUCCUCUCACCUUUUCUCUGGGACUUAAAUUGCCUAUCCCCUCAGACCUCACAAAUGCCUUUGAAUUCUUUCCCUGACCUACUGAUUUUUUUUCUUUUCUCAAAUGUUACCUACUAAGAGAUGCCUGGGGUAAGCCACCCAGCUACCUAAUUCCUCAGUAACCUCCAUCUAAAAUCUCCAUGGAAGCAAUAAAUUCCCUUUAUGAGAUCUAUGUCAAAUUUUUCCAUCUUUCAGCCAGGGCUGACUGAAACUAUGGCUAAGAAUUGGGAGACUCUUAUGUUUCAAGCCAAUUUAAUCACAUUUCCCAGAUCUUAUUUCAUUUCCAGUAACACGGAAGCAACCAAGUACAAUAUAGCCUGAUAAUAUGUUGCUUUCUUAGUUGACGUUAAUAUUUCUUUCUUCCUUGUGUUCCCACCCUUGGCAUUGCCACCCACCCCUCAAUUCAGGCAACAAUGAAGUUAAUGGAUACCCUCUGCCCUUUGCUCAGAAAUGUUAUAGCAAAAAUUAUAAAAAAAAAAUAAGUUUGUACUAAUUUCAAUAUGGCUUUUAAAAGUAUGACAGAGAAAUAAGUUAGCAUAAAGGAACUUUGAAUCUCAAAAAUAUCAAAAGUAAAAAUUUAUUCUCAAAACUUUAAAUUUGUGAAGAAUGAUGACAGUAGAAGCCUUUCUCUCCCCUCCUCGCCUUGAAGGAAUAAAAAUUUUCUUAGGCAGGAAAAGAAAUGGAAGUCAGAAAAACAUUAGAAAAAGACAAUAAUGUGGGUAUCUGAAAAGGAACAAAUACUCAAUCCUCACAUAGGGUUAGUGACAAUGGCGAAAGGGAUGGGAGCAGAAGCCACAGACAUAUCUAGGAGCCCUAGAAUAGAGGCGCAGUCUGCCUCACCUCCUGAAUGAAGCUUUGAUAACCAGAUAACCAUGUAGCUUUCCCUGUGCCACCCUGGCACGAAGGAGACAGUAUAGUGGAUAUGGCUGCAGGAUGUUUCUAGGAAACAUGCCAAUAGAAAACAACACCAAUAUCUUCAGAAAUCCCAAGCCCUUUCCCCUAACCCUCCUGGCUAAGGAAAGCACUAGCUUAUGAGAGAAACCCUAGGAAGAACAACACAGUUGAGAAAAUGUAGCAGCAGCUGUGGGUGCUGUGUCCUCCGUUGGAUUCACCAUUUCCUAGCAGAAACUCUCACAGAGGAAAUGGGUCAGCAGUGAUCUCAUGGCUCUAAACAGCUAUGAAAUCUGUAAGGAUAUUUCUAUCCAUGCUACCUGCAUCAGUGAGUUUAAAUUUUAAUUGUAGAAAAAAGACAAAAUAUUAAUGCAGUAAUUGAUACAGUAAAGUUUGGUGCAAAUAAUCCUAAAUCCAAAUCCAGGACUCAGUACUUUGAAGCUAGUAUUUUAAACUUUAUAAAUGGGUGAAGUAUCUAACAUUUCUGGCCUUAUUUUUCUCAUCCACAAUGUAGGAGUAAUAAUAAUUUCUUUGCAGAGUUAUUGAUGGAAUUUGAAUAAUCUUGAUAUAUAGUCAAUGCCUUACACAUAGUAUAUAAAUACACAAUAAAACAUUGUGGUUAUAUUUAUAAUUAAUUUAUUUAAAAGAAUGGAUCACUUUAUAUGAAAAAUACUUUUGUUUUUCUCAGCCCCUUAAUGAUUUAGGAGAUUCAAAUGUAGAGCUAUGGGUGAAUUUCUUUUCAUAUGAUCAUUGGAGGAUAUUUUUUUUCUCCAGAAUGAGAGAUGCUGAGAUCGAUUGCUAAGAGAGCUCUUAGGACGAGAAAUUGUAAUAUUUGACUUUGGUUUUCAACUCUCUGAGAAGAGAUAUAUUCCCUCCUUAUGGCCCGUAAGUGUUUAUUCAAGGUAUUUCAUAUGCAACAGAUGUUUAUGCAUGUUUACUUUGGGGAGGAGGUGAAGAAAGUUCAAGGAGAAAAUAAUUUAAAAUGCAGACUAGGAAUCAGUAAGCACAGGGAGUCUGAACCAGUGAUGAUCAUGAAAAUGUCCAUCACAAAGCACAGAGGAUUUUUAGGGCAAUGAAACUACUCUAUUUGAUACCACAAUGGUGAAAAAUGUCAUUAUGCAUUUGCCCAAAUCCACAGAAUGUACAACACCAAGAGUGAGACUUAAUGUAAACUAUGGACUUUGGGUGAUAAUGAUGUGCCAAUGUAAGUUCAUAAAUUAUAGCAAAUGUACCACUCUGGCGAGAGAUGUUACUAAUGGGGGAGGCUAUGCAUGUGUGGGAGCAGAGUGUAUCUGGCAGCAGUCCCCAACCUUUUUGGCACCAGGGACCAGUUUUAUGGAAGACAAUUUUUCCACAGAUAGUGGGGGGAAUGUGGGUAUGAUUUGGGGAUGAAACUGUGAAACUGUUCCACCUCAGAUCAAAAAGCAUUAGCUAGGUUCUCAUAAGGAACAUGCAACCUAGAUCUCUUGCAUGCACAGUUAACAAUAGGAUUCAUGCUCCUAUGGGAAUCUAAUGCCACCACUGAUCUGACGGAAGGCAGGGCUCAGUUGGUAACGCUAGCUCGCCUACUGUGUGGCCCAGUUUCUAACAGGCCACCAGCUGGUACUGGUCCAUGGCCCAGGGGGUUGGGGUCCUCUGGAAUAUCUCUGCACCUUCUGCUCAGUUUUUCUGUGAACCAACAACUGCUUUAAAAUAAAGUCUAUUUUUAAAAAGGAGAAGAAAAAGUAACCAAUUAUGAUCCCAAAUAUAUAAAACUUUUAGUAUGAAAAAGUCACAUUAAAAUGCACAAAUGCGCUAAGAAAUUUUUAGCAAUAAGAUUUCAAACAAAUUUCAUAUAAAUUUCAAUGAUUCAUGAGGCAAGAAUCCAGCAUUUUGGAGUUGUGUGCAUUUGUGUGCGUGUGUGUCUGUGUGUGUGUAAUAUAAGGGUUAUAAUGAAUGGCAAAAUGACUAGAGUCAUACAGAAAUCAACAAAUGCUGCCCAACUCAGACUCAUUCCUCAAGAAGUACUGUGGAAAGCAAAUUUAAUGAUAUUGCAUUUUAUUAAAAGGUUGUAUUCAAAAAGUAUUUCUGUAAUGUUAAAAUAGCAGAAUUAAAACUAAUUCUAAAAAAUAAGAGUAAAUUUUUUUAUCAGCUAAAAAAGUAGGGUCAUUAUUGACAUUACUAUACAUAGGGUUACAGAUCAACCUGUGUUAUUUUAAAUCAUGUGAUACUUAAAAAUUAUUUCAGUUAUUUGAAUUAUUUCAGAUUGUAUACAUAAAGUGUGACUUCAUUAAUAUUUAAUAUCACACUAUUCAAAAUUUACAAAAUUAGUGGGUCACAGAGGCUCAUGCCUGUGAUCUUAACACUUUGGAGGCCAAUGGAGGAGGAUUGCUUGAAGCCAGGAGUUCAACAGCUGCCCGGGCAACAAACCAAGACCCCAUCUCUACAACAUAAAAAUAAAUUAGCACAUGGUGGCGCACCUGUAAUCCCAGCUACUCUGGAGGCUGAGGCGAGAGGAGCAAACUCAGGAGGUCAGGGCUUCAGUGGGCUAGGAUUGUGCCACCACGCUCGCUCCAGCCUAGGCAACAGAGCAAGACCCCAGCUCUAAAAAUAAAUAAAUAAAUAAAUAAAUAAAUAAAUAAAUAAAUAAAUAAAUAAAUUUUACAAAACUUUAAAAAUCACAUGAAAUAUUUCAGGUUUGUACUUACCACAAACAAACUAGGGAUUUAAAGAAUUAAACAUUUUAUUUUACUUACAGUCUGUACUGGCACAUAGUAAGUAGUCAAUAGGUGUUAACAAUUGGUAUUAUUGUUAUUUUCUGGAGUCCAACUAACAAAUCCCACAGUGAAUGACACCACAGGGGUGCAACCAACAAGAUCCAGAAUAUGGGAACUUCCACUAGAUAACUCCAUUUCUUCAGCAACAAUUCAAAGACAGACAGAGAGAGAGAGAGAGAGAGAGAAAGAAGAGAGAGAAGAGAAGAGAAGCUAUACAUUUUAAAAAGGCUGAAGAAAUAUAUGAACCAAAUUGAUAUGAGGCAAUCAGAAAAAUUGACACCAACUGUAUUAAGGAAAUAGCUAAUUUUAGUGUGGUAAUAGCAUUGCUGUUAUGCUUCUAAAAAGUCAUUAUACUUUAGAUUUUCAUAAUAAAAUAAUUAUGAAUG